This 253-nucleotide ribosomal RNA is filed under the name uncultured bacterium. Its description in RNAcentral is "partial 16S ribosomal RNA". It matches the Rfam family "Bacterial small subunit ribosomal RNA", at positions 524 to 776 of the family's 1533-position model. The record is from RNAcentral.
UACGUAGGGGGCUAGCGUUGUCCGGAAUCAUUGGGCGUAAAGAGCUCGUAGGCGGUUUGUCGCGUCUGCCGUGAAAGUCCGGGGCUCAACUCCGGAUCUGCGGUGGGUACGGGCAGGCUAGAGUCAGGUAGGGGAGAACGGAAUUCCUGGUGUAGCGGUGAAAUGCGCAGAUAUCAGGAGGAACACCGGUGGCGAAGGCGGUUCUCUGGGCCUGUACUGACGCUGAGGAACGAAAGCGUGGGGAGCGAACAGG